GAGGGGUACUGAGAGUGGCCCCGGUGGACUGUAUACCCUGGAAGGGGUUUGUGCUGGUUAACAUGCAGACAGUGACUCAGCCCAAAUGCUGAGUUGCUGAAAACCAACCUGACUGAAAGGGGUCACCAGAACUAAAUAACGCAGUCACGCCCAACCUGAAGGGGGCAUUUGUGAGAGCUCAAGAUUGUAUCCCAGAGCAGAAAUGGAGAUCAAUGUCUGCUCUCAACAGAAUGGAGACCGAAAUCUGCCCUGUAAAUGAUUACAUUGUGGGCUCUACUAAUCUGACCUACUCCAUGGACCAAGUUCUGCUGUCAGAGUAAAGCCAGAAGAAAAUGUUAACGAUCAUCUCAUCUGAUCUCCGGUGUAACACAGGCCAGGGAAUUCCACCCACUGAUUCCUGCAUCAAGCCCAGUUACUUCUGGCUGAGUGAGAGCAGAUAGUUGUAGAAAGACACCUAGUCUUGCCCGGAAGACCCCAAAUGAUGGCGAACCUACCACGUCCCUAGAGCCGGGGCAGGAACGAGUGACCUAGAGAACUGCAUGGAACAUGCUUCAAAGCCCUGCAGACUCUGAAAGGCAGCGACUGCAAAGAGAAAUAGAGCAGUGAACUACCUCUGCCCUAGGAGUUGAUCUGCCACUAAGAUGCUCCCAGAACACAAGCUAAGCCUUCAGCAACUGGCAAGGAAAGAGCUUGGGCCACAAGCUGCAAACAAAUAUGCUGCUGAAUUAGAAGAGAGUUCUGGGUUUGGCAGAGCCCCUGAAUCCCACAGCUCGGGCACAGGUUUGCAGAAGUGCAGAUACCUACACGUGCACAGAAGGAGCUUCUGGCAGCAAAGUGACAGCUCCGGGCAGAGUCAGAUAAUCCAGCCAUCCCCCGCUUGGUACCACUGCAGAAAUACCUAUGCAGGGAUGUGGAGAUGAUCGAGGCAGCCAGGUUUGGGCCUGGUCAUCCCCUCUGCUUCCACAGGUGCCAACAGGAAAGGGCUGGGCUGCCAAUACUGUAAUAUGCUGCCUCCUGUUCUCAAUCCCGAACAAGCCUCUUUCUGUGUGAAUCGCACCGAUUCAGCUGCAUAUGCUGGGAGGGGGCAAUGCUGGGACAGAGGGAACCUUGGUUCUGGCAUCUCCUAACUCCUGAGUGUUUGACUUUGCGACCUUCACGCUUUUUUAAUGUUUUCUGUGUGUAAUUUCCUACCUUUUUGUACAGCUAUGCCUUUUAUUUGUACUUUAUUUGACAAAAAACUCAAGCUUGAGUUUCCCUAACACCUACUUCUCUUAAAAUGUAGGCCCUGCCUAGUAGCCAUAAGCCAGAACAUAGCAAAUGAGGGUGAAAAAAGGAAUUGUGUAAGCCCUCUUCCCCUGGAUUUUCUUCCACUUGGUGGGGAAGCUUUGCUCCAGUGCUGGCUCCAGCACCUGGACUUGGCUUCUGUUUCUCCUCCUCCUCUUACAUCGACGCCACCCCGGUGGAGGCAGCUGCCUGGUUGGUUCUUCCUCUUUGUUUCUAGCGGCUUUCCCUGGCCUCCAGACUCUCUUUGCAGUGAAGGGCCUGAACAGCCGUAGAAGCAGCUGCAAACCCGGAGAGCCAGCCAGCUCUCUGCAGAGCAGCAGCAGAUGCUCCAAAGGCUGGAAGUGUUCCAUGGACCACAGUAUAGAAGUGUGAGGUAGGGCUUGUCUUCACAUCCUCUGCUGCAGCUGUGCUUAAGUGAAGGCACAGCUAUGCCGAGGGGAGGGAUUCUCCCAUCGGCGUAGUUAAUCCACCUCCCCGAGCGGAGGUAGCUCUGUCUGCGAGAGAAGCCCUCCCAUCAACACAGCGCUGCCUACACUGGGGGUUAGGUCAGUAUAACUUACGUUGUUCAGGGGGUGGAUUUUUCACACCCCUGAGCGGCACCGUUAUGCCGAUAUAGGUCUGUAGUGCAGAUCUGGCCUUAAUUAUGGCUGGGCUUUACAGAAGUAUCUAAGCAAUUUAGGAAAACAAGUCCCACUGGCUUUCAAUAGGACUUGUGCUCCUAAGUCACUUAGGGCAUGUCUACACUCCACAUGAAGCCCAGGCUCUGACUCAGGUUUGAGCCCAAGCCCUGUUUCUGUCCACACACAAAUCAGUCUGACUCGGGUCAGCAAGCACUUAGGACCCAGGUCCUAAUACUCUGCUGGGGAUGGGUGGGUCAGUGCCUGAAUCCUACUGUGACUCCGGUCUGAGCCCUGCCAUUUUGCAGUGUGUACACAACUCAAGCUGCAGACCUGAGUCACAGUGGGACUCGGGCUCUGACCCCCACCCCCUGCAGGGUCCUAAGACCCAGGGUUACAUUCACCAGCCCAGGUUUACAAUGUAGUGUGGAUGCUCAAGCACGGGUUUGGAAAAACCACGAUCACAAGCAUGAGUCCCACAGGCUUGGGCUUAGUGUGCAGAGUAGACAGACCCUUAGAUACUUUGGAAAAUCCCACCAGAACUCUUUACAGCAGGGUAUGGCAUGAACUGUGCGUGCUCUUCACACAUCCAGAACCAAAUUCUGCCCUCCCUGCAGUUAAGAAUCAGAGAGACAAAGACCUCCCCUAAAAGGGGAUCCAGCAGAGGAAAUGGAACUUCUGUUUCAAAUCGUUUUCCAGGCGAGGGAAAAGUGUUAGAAGAGGACACACAUGCAAAUGUAUUUUAAUAUCUUCAGCAGUGCCACUGCGGUUGCAUCCCAGCCCCAGGGUUCCCGUUUGCAGAGGUUGUGUGUCUGAGUUUUUCAUGUGAAUUAUUUAUAAUUGGUAUCAUUUUAGUGAGGCCACGCAGCAUAUAACCAUACGGAUAAACUGAUGCCCUUUCUGAAGGUCCCCCUCAAUUCAAUAAGUAUUCCAUUAAUAUGCAGCUUGUGUGUGC
This is a long non-coding RNA of Mauremys reevesii (Reeves's turtle), 2856 nucleotides long. RefSeq lists it as uncharacterized. NCBI's taxonomy places the organism in Eukaryota, Metazoa, Chordata, Testudines, Geoemydidae. The transcript is spliced from 4 exons. The record is from RefSeq and is a predicted model, not a curated record.